Molecule: ribosomal RNA, 253 nt
Filed under: uncultured bacterium
Lineage: Bacteria
Description: partial 16S ribosomal RNA
Rfam family: Bacterial small subunit ribosomal RNA
Source: RNAcentral
UACGAAGGGGGCUAGCGUUGUUCGGAAUUACUGGGCGUAAAGGGCGCGUAGGCGGCUUCGAUAGUCAGGCGUGAAAUCCCCAGGCUCAACUUGGGAAUUGCGCUUGAUACUGCGAGGCUUGAGUGAGGGAGAGGAUAGUGGAAUUCCCAGUGGAGAGGUGAAAUUCGUAGAUAUUGGGAAGAACACCAGUGGCGAAGGCGGCUAUCUGGACCUCAACUGACGCUGAGGCGCGACAGCGUGGGGAGCAAACAGG